This 364-nucleotide ribosomal RNA is filed under the name Klebsiella pneumoniae. RNAcentral describes it as "bacterial SSU rRNA". It matches the Rfam family "Bacterial small subunit ribosomal RNA", at positions 785 to 1149 of the family's 1533-position model. The record is from RNAcentral. Lineage: Bacteria; Pseudomonadati; Pseudomonadota; Gammaproteobacteria; Enterobacterales; Enterobacteriaceae.
CCCUGGUAGUCCACGCCGUAAACGAUGUCGAUUUGGAGGUUGUGCCCUUGAGGCGUGGCUUCCGGAGCUAACGCGUUAAAUCGACCGCCUGGGGAGUACGGCCGCAAGGUUAAAACUCAAAUGAAUUGACGGGGGCCCGCACAAGCGGUGGAGCAUGUGGUUUAAUUCGAUGCAACGCGAAGAACCUUACCUGGUCUUGACAUCCACAGAACUUUCCAGAGAUGGAUUGGUGCCUUCGGGAACUGUGAGACAGGUGCUGCAUGGCUGUCGUCAGCUCGUGUUGUGAAAUGUUGGGUUAAGUCCCGCAACGAGCGCAACCCUUAUCCUUUGUUGCCAGCGGUCCGGCCGGGAACUCAAAGGAGAC